This 475-nucleotide ribosomal RNA is filed under the name uncultured Lachnospiraceae bacterium. RNAcentral describes it as "partial 16S ribosomal RNA". The record is from RNAcentral. Lineage: Bacteria; Bacillati; Bacillota; Clostridia; Lachnospirales; Lachnospiraceae.
CACGUAGUUAGCCGGGGCUUCUUAGUCAGGUACCGUCAUUUUCUUCCCUGCUGAUAGAGCUUUACAUACCGAAAUACUUCUUCACUCACGCGGCGUCGCUGCAUCAGGGUUUCCCCCAUUGUGCAAUAUUCCCCACUGCUGCCUCCCGCAGGAGUCUGGGCCGUGUCUCAGUCCCAAUGUGGCCGUUCACCCUCUCACGGCCGGCUACUGAUCGUCGCUUUGGUAGGCCGUUACCCUGCCAACUGGCUAAUCAGACGCGGGUCCAUCUCACACCGAUAAAAUCUUUUCCGUCAGUGUCCAUGCGGCACCAGCGGGUUAUGCGGUAUUAGCGGUCGUUUCCAACUGUUAUCCCCCUGUGUGAGGCAGGUUACCCACGCGUUACUCACCCGUCCGCCACUCAGUCACAAGAGACUUCAUCCGAAGAAUCAUUCUCAGGUGCUCGUUCGACUUGCUAUGUAGUUAAGCACGCCGCCAG